CGGCGGACGGGUGAGUAACGCGUGGGUAACCUACCCUGUACACACGGAUAACAUACCGAAAGGUAUGCUAAUACGGGAUAAUAUAUUUGAGAGGCAUCUCUUGAAUAUCAAAGGUGAGCCAGUACAGGAUGGACCCGCGUCUGAUUAGCUAGUUGGUAAGGUAACGGCUUACCAAGGCGACGAUCAGUAGCCGACCUGAGAGGGUGAUCGGCCGCAUUGGAACUGAGACACGGUCCAA
Molecule: ribosomal RNA, 238 nt
Filed under: uncultured bacterium
Lineage: Bacteria
Description: partial 16S ribosomal RNA
Rfam family: Bacterial small subunit ribosomal RNA
Source: RNAcentral